GCUGUGGUGGUUCAGUUGUAGCAUGUUCACCUUCCACGUGGGAGACCUGGGUUCGAUUCCUGGCCAAGGCC
This 71-nucleotide transfer RNA is filed under the name Loxodonta africana (African savanna elephant). It matches the Rfam family "tRNA". Rfam says of the family: Transfer RNA (tRNA) molecules are approximately 80 nucleotides in length. Their secondary structure includes four short double-helical elements and three loops (D, anti-codon, and T loops). Lineage: Eukaryota; Metazoa; Chordata; Mammalia; Proboscidea; Elephantidae. The record is from Rfam by way of RNAcentral.